Long non-coding RNA from Mizuhopecten yessoensis (Yesso scallop), 1366 nucleotides. RefSeq lists it as uncharacterized. Lineage: Eukaryota; Metazoa; Mollusca; Bivalvia; Pectinida; Pectinidae. The transcript has 2 exons. The record is from RefSeq and is a predicted model, not a curated record.
AUUAAAACCUGCAGAAUUUAUUGUCAUCCAAUAACUCCAUAUCUCAGACAAAAUCCUUAACAUACAAAAACAAACAUCUAUUAAACAUUCCUCACAUGCCCCACACUCUAUUAACAUUUCUCAAAUUAUCUACACAUGCCUCACAUUCUCCUAAAAUUCCUCACAUUUUCUAAAUAUUCCCCACAUUCUCCUAACAUUCCUCACAAUUUCUAAGCAAUCUUCACAUUCUCUAAAUAUUCCUCACAUUCUCUUAACUUCUUUACAUUGUCUAUACAAAUAUGUAAAUUUGCAAUAUUACAUUAUGUUCACAUAUUCUAUAAACACUUUCCUGAUAAUCUACAAAACACAUUCCUUAUAUAAACAAAUUCACAAAUGACUGUUUUUUUCUGUUUUUCACCCUAGCUCUUACAACACACUGUGGUGUCCCCGAGUUAUCUUACGCAGUACGAAUUCCAAUCUAAUGGUCCAGGCUCCGGUCAGUAAACAGUAAACUGACUCAAUUCACCAUCUUGAGUUAUCAAUGGCAAUUGCUUUCUUUUCAAAUGUCAGCAGAAUGCAAUGAUUUGAUCAUCAUGCAAUUUACUUUGAGAUCACUUGAUGUAACAUGAGGUUAAAACAAUAGGUUUAUACAUGUAAGCUCACUUGAUGUAACAUGAGGUCAGACAAUAGGGUUAUACAUGUAAGCUCACUUGAUGUAACAUAAGGGCAAACAAUAGUUUUAUACAUGUAAGCUCACUUGAUGUAACAUGAGGUCAGACAAUAGGUUUACACAUGUAAACUCACUUGAUGUAACAUGAGGGCAAACAAUAAGUUUAUACAUGUAAGCUCACUUGAUGUAACAUAAGGGCAGACAAUAGUUUUAUACAUGUAAGCUCACUUGAUGUAACAUGAGGGCAGACAAUAGUUUUAUACAUGUAAGCUCACUUGAUGUACCAUGAGGGCAGACAAUAGGUUUACACAUGUAAACUCACUUGAUGUAACAUGAGGGCAGACAAUAGGUUUAUACAUGUAAGCUCACUUGAUGUAACAUGAGGUCAGACAAUAGGUUUAUAUAUGUAAGCUCACAGGAUGUAACAUGAGGUCAGACAAUAGGUUUACACAUGUAAACUCACUUAAAGUAACAUGAGGGCAGACAAUAGGUUUAUAUAUGUAAGCUCACAGGAUGUAACAUGAGGUCAGACAAUAGGUUUACACAUGUAAGCUCACUUGAUGUAACAUGAGGUCAGACAAUAGGUUUACACAUGUAAACUCACUUGAUGUAACAUGAGGUCAGACAAUAGGUUUACAUAUGUAAACUCACUUGAUGUAACAUGAGGGCAAACAAUAGGUUUAUACAUGUAAACUCACUUGAUGUAACAUGAGGUCA